Molecule: ribosomal RNA, 497 nt
Filed under: uncultured bacterium
Lineage: Bacteria
Description: partial 16S ribosomal RNA
Rfam family: Bacterial small subunit ribosomal RNA
Source: RNAcentral
GAUGAACGCUGGCGGCGUGCCUAAUACAUGCCAGUCGAGCGAACGGACGAGAAGCUUGCUUCUCUGAUGUUAGCGGCGGACGGGUGAGUAACACGUGGAUAACCUACCUAUAAGACUGGGAUAACUUCGGGAAACCGGAGCUAACACCGGAUAAUAUUUUGAACCGCAUGAUUCAAAAGUGAAAGACGGUCUUGCUGUCACUUAUAGAUGGAUCCGCGCUGCAUUAGCUAGUUGGUAAGGUAACGGCUUACCAAGGCAACGAUGCAUAGCCGACCUGAGAGGGUGAUCGGCCACACUGGAACUGAGACACGGUCCAGACUCCUACGGGAGGCAGCAGUAGGGAAUCUUCCGCAAUGGGCGAAAGCCUGACGGAGCAACGCCGCGUGAGUGAUGAAGGUCUUCGGAUCGUAAAACUCUGUUAUUAGGGAAGAACAUAUGUGUAAGUAACUGUGCACAUCUUGACGGUACCUAAUCAGAAAGCCACGGCUAACUACGUG